Molecule: non-coding RNA, 274 nt
Filed under: Heyndrickxia shackletonii
Lineage: Bacteria; Bacillati; Bacillota; Bacilli; Caryophanales; Bacillaceae
Description: Bacillus shackletonii T-box sequence
Rfam family: T-box leader
About the family: Uncharged tRNA acts as the effector for transcription antitermination of genes in the T-box leader family. T-boxes are found upstream of many aminoacyl-tRNA synthetase genes and some amino acid biosynthetic genes usually in Gram-positive bacteria.
Source: RNAcentral
AUAAAGGCAAUGAAGAGAAAAAGUAAAAUGAUUUUGUUUUUCAAAAGAGAGCUUCGGUAGCUGAAAAGAAGCAAAAAUAAACAUUUGAAAAAUGGUCUCUGAGCUUCGUACUGAACAUACUUUUCGUAUUAGUAGGCUGCGACGAGUUUUGACUCUCGUUAUCAACGUCACAGUAUAAGAGUAAAAGUUUUACUCCGUACUUGCUGAGGCAAAUAGUGUGAACUAUUUGUGAAAUAAGGUGGUAUCACGUGGGUAUUCAAACCUCGUCCUUAAC